ACAUUCCUUCGGGGCAGGGUGAAAUUCCCGACCGGCGGUGAUCAUACCUAGUGUGUGUAAGCCCGCGAGCCUCCUGAGCUGAUAAACAGCAAGGAGUGCAGGAUCUGGUGAGACUCCAGAGCCGACAGUACAGUCUGGAUGGGAGAAGGAUGAC
Molecule: non-coding RNA, 154 nt
Filed under: Brevibacillus choshinensis
Lineage: Bacteria; Bacillati; Bacillota; Bacilli; Caryophanales; Paenibacillaceae
Description: FMN sequence
Rfam family: FMN riboswitch aptamer (RFN element)
About the family: The RFN element is a highly conserved domain that is found frequently in the 5'-untranslated regions of prokaryotic mRNAs that encode for flavin mononucleotide (FMN) biosynthesis and transport proteins.
Source: RNAcentral